Molecule: ribosomal RNA, 253 nt
Filed under: uncultured bacterium
Lineage: Bacteria
Description: partial 16S ribosomal RNA
Rfam family: Bacterial small subunit ribosomal RNA
Source: RNAcentral
UACGUAGGGUGCGAGCGUUAAUCGGAAUUACUGGGCGUAAAGCGUGCGCAGGCGGUUGGUUAAGUCUGAUGUGAAAGCCCCGGGCUCAACUUGGGAACUGCAUUGGAAACUGGCCAGCUGGAGUGUGGCAGAGGGGGGUGGAAUUCCGCGUGUAGCAGUGAAAUGCGUAGAGAUGCGGAGGAACACCGAUGGCGAAGGCAGCCCCCUGGGCCAACACUGACGCUCAGGCACGAAAGCGUGGGGAGCAAACAGG